AGAACCCUAGGCCCGUGGCGAUUGCAUAGCAAAUCCGUCUGUCUCUGUCUUGAAACCUAAGGUAGGAUGUUGAUUGGGCGUUUCAGAGGUCGUAUCGGGAAACAGAUGAUUGGCUCACUCGUUGAGCAACCAAGAAACUGAAAAAGGUUACCAAGAGGACAUUUUAUCAACAUGAGGCACUAGCUGUCUCCGAUUUGUAGAGAAAAAGCAAACUUGGAAGAAAGAACAUUGAGAAAAUGAGUUGUUGGAUUGUGCUGGUCAAUGUCCCUUGUGCAGCUUCCUCAAUUCUAUAUUCAACUUUCAAGAUGUGAAGGACAUUGUAAUUUUUUUUUUUUUGAAAUAGUAGCAGCAUUGUAAUGUAUUAUUAUUUAUUUUGUUCU
This is a long non-coding RNA of Carya illinoinensis, 380 nucleotides long. RefSeq lists it as uncharacterized. NCBI's taxonomy places the organism in Eukaryota, Viridiplantae, Streptophyta, Magnoliopsida, Fagales, Juglandaceae. The transcript has 3 exons. The record is from RefSeq and is a predicted model, not a curated record.